This 252-nucleotide ribosomal RNA is filed under the name uncultured bacterium. RNAcentral's name for it is "partial 16S ribosomal RNA". It matches the Rfam family "Bacterial small subunit ribosomal RNA", at positions 524 to 776 of the family's 1533-position model. The record is from RNAcentral.
UACGUAGGGAGCGAGCGUUAUCCGGAUUUAUUGGGUGUAAAGCGUGUGUAGGCGGGAAAUUAAGUCUAAGGUCUAAGCCCGGAGCUCAACUCCGGUUCGCCUUAGAAACUGAUUUUCUUGAGUAUGGUAGAGGCAAAUGGAAUUUCUAGUGUAGCGGUAAAAUGCGUAGAUAUUAGAAGGAACACCAGUGGCGAAGGCGAUUUGCUGGGCCAUCACUGACGCUGAGACACGAAAGCGUGGGGAGCAAAUAGG